CCUACGGGGGGCAGCAGUGAGGAAUCUUGGUCAAUGGGCGCGAGCCUGAACCAGCCAAGUCGCGUGAGGGAAGACGGUCCUAUGGAUUGUAAACCUCUUUUGUCGGGGAGCAAAAGACGCCACGUGUGGCGUUCCGAGAGUACCUGAAGAAAAAGCAUCGGCUAACUCCGUGCCAGCAGCCGCGGUAAUACGGAGGAUGCGAGCGUUAUCCGGAUUUAUUGGGUUUAAGGGGUGCGCAGGCGGAAGAUAAAGUCAGAGGUAAAACUGAGAGGCUAAACCUCUACGAGCCGGUGAAACUGGUUGUCUUGAGUGAACGAGAGGUAUGCGGAAUGCGUGGUGUAGCGGUGAAAUGCAUAGAUAUCACGAAGAACUCCGAUUGCGAAGGCAGCUUACCGGCGCGCAACUGACGCUCAUGCACGAAAGUGUGGGUAUCGAACAGGAUUAGAUACCCCGGUAGUC
This 459-nucleotide ribosomal RNA is filed under the name uncultured bacterium. RNAcentral describes it as "partial 16S ribosomal RNA". It matches the Rfam family "Bacterial small subunit ribosomal RNA", at positions 338 to 795 of the family's 1533-position model. The record is from RNAcentral.